CCUAUAUCGAGCUCUGUAUUAGAGUAACCUAGACAAAAUGUAUGUUUCCCCCAACACUAUUCUUUUAGUUAGGAAAAUCUAACCAACCUCAUAAUAUUUUGUUUUGUCUUAGCAAUAUUGAGAUCCCAGUAUACUUGAGGCUUGGACCUAUUAAAUUUGGAGAACUCAAAAAAAUAUAUGCCAAUUCUGGCCCGUAAACUUUUUUUUUUGAAGUCACAAAAAGCCCAACUAAAAUAAAAAGAAACAACAAUUAAGAAACAAACAUUAAGAUCCGAACAACUAAAACCUAGAUCUAGGGCCGUUUUUUGUUCUCACUCUCGUCUCCUCCCUCUCUCUCGCAUCGCAUUCUUCUGAGCGCCGCUCUCGGUCUCUUUCACUCUCUUUCUCGUCUUCGGCCUCUCAGUGCAGCCGCCGUCGCCGGCUCCCGCGUCUCCCUCAUCUCCUCAUCUUUCGAUGCACCGCCGCCCUCGCUUGCCCAACCCCAUCGUCUCUCAGUCUCCCUCACCGCCGACUCGCCCUGCCUCCCCGUCCUGCGUUCGCACCAGUAGCCUCUGUCCAACAGAUUGUAAAAACAAUUGGCAGAUUAAAAUUCAAAUUUAGGCUUCACAAAUUGGAGCCAAAACUAGGUGGAGGUGCACCAGUUCCGGAGCCAAGUGAAGAAAAAUUUGAAGCUGCUCGGAAAAAACUCGAAAGCCGCAGAAAUUCCAAAAGAAAAUAGCUAUAAACCAGGUUUUCCUGUUGCUUCCCAUCUUUUAUGGUGCACUCGAAGUUCUAGUUUCUCUUUUUGAAGCACUUGUAUUUAUGAAUAUGACUGCAUAAGGCAACUAUUUUAUAUAUGAAUUACUUAUAUUAGCUAUACA
Long non-coding RNA from Salvia miltiorrhiza (redroot sage), 860 nucleotides. RefSeq lists it as uncharacterized. The record is from RefSeq and is a predicted model, not a curated record. The transcript is spliced from 2 exons. Lineage: Eukaryota; Viridiplantae; Streptophyta; Magnoliopsida; Lamiales; Lamiaceae.